GUAGCUCAGUCGGUAAAGAGUCUGCCUGCAAGGCAGGAGACCUGGGUUCAAUUCCUGGC
This 59-nucleotide transfer RNA is filed under the name Bos taurus (domestic cattle). It matches the Rfam family "tRNA", at positions 7 to 64 of the family's 71-position model. From Rfam's summary of the family: Transfer RNA (tRNA) molecules are approximately 80 nucleotides in length. Their secondary structure includes four short double-helical elements and three loops (D, anti-codon, and T loops). RNAcentral also lists the same sequence under 4 other names. The record is from Rfam by way of RNAcentral. Lineage: Eukaryota; Metazoa; Chordata; Mammalia; Artiodactyla; Bovidae.